This 243-nucleotide long non-coding RNA is filed under the name Medicago truncatula (barrel medic). RNAcentral describes it as "long non-coding RNA (MTRU_LNC002658)". Lineage: Eukaryota; Viridiplantae; Streptophyta; Magnoliopsida; Fabales; Fabaceae. The record is from RNAcentral.
GUAUAUAAACCUCAACAGUCGCAGCGGAAUAUAAACCAGAGUAAAUUCAAAUAUACAUGUUAUGAAUAAAUAAAUUACAUCAACAUAGAUGCAUCUCAAAAAUCCCAACAAACGGGUAAUCUACAAACAUAACAAAAUCCAAAGAUAACCUAAUCUAGACCGACACAACGAAGCCUAGAUCAGAGCCGACUAAUUCUAAACACCGAUAUCGGAGAAAGCUCCCGAUAUCCACCAAGCACAAGA